This is a non-coding RNA of Musa acuminata subsp. malaccensis (wild Malaysian banana), 1031 nucleotides long. The record is from RefSeq and is a predicted model, not a curated record. NCBI's taxonomy places the organism in Eukaryota, Viridiplantae, Streptophyta, Magnoliopsida, Zingiberales, Musaceae.
GAGAAUAGGUAAACUCAUUUUAAGUUAGUUUUUCAACUUCUAUAAUUUGAUCAUGUUUUAUGGGUUUGAUGGAAGAAAGACGGAAGUAUUUAUUUCUUUUUUCUCUUUUCCUGUCAUAUUUGGGUUCAUCUUUAUCUCCUAAAAGGUUCAAACUAGUCUAUUUACAUGAAAACAAAGCUAAAACCAGUAGUUAUCUCUGAUCUUUGACAGAUAAUUUUAUGAGGAAUAUAUUUGUUGAUGGCCAUAAAAUGGAAGAUUUAAGGAAAUAUUUGGCCCACAUCAACUUUUUACAAUGCAAACACUGGUUAAAAGUAGGUUAGUAUUUGGAGUGCCAUAUCACAUCACUGAAUUCCUUUGUCCAUCGAUUAAUUAGUUUAUUACACGUUUGAGGAAAUAUGAGGCCAUCCCACUAAGCAAUGUCUGCCAAUGGUGCAGACUACAGUUACAAGCCUGUUGUUCACCUCUCACUAUAAAAUGCUGAUGUUUCCCUUAAUUUCUAACAUAAGGCAUCCAAUCUCCUUGGUUACUCCUUGCUUGUCCUCGUGAAGCAGCAAGAGAAUCUAGGAUGAAAUCAAGGUUUCUAUGGCUUCUUCUUGUUUUCUCGAUGAUGAUUUGCAUCUUGGCCACACAUAAAAUGACCUUCACGGAGAUGGAAAAUGUUAAGAGCACACUCGGAUACUCUGGGAGUGGUAUUGAUAACCAUCAUAGCAUACCUAGAGAACAAUAUAACAGCCGUGGUAGUGGCAGCACUGGCCAGCAACCCUCAUAUGGGGACGAAGGAAAUAACCAAGGAAGUGGGGGUGGUGGUGUAAAUUAGUAACCGCAUUGGGAUGUUAAGGUGCAUGGUUUUUGUGUGGACAACAUGUUGAUGAAUGUCUGUUGAGAGUUACUUUUUAUAGUUCAAUAAAUAUGUAAUUUGAGAGUGUUAGUAGAUGCAAAAUAUAAACUAUUUCUGACUAAGAUUGAUGUAAAUUGGAGAGCUUGGUAUUUUGUAAUGCAGUAUUACUCUGAAUGAUAGAAGUAGUUUCAUA